RNAcentral lists this ribosomal RNA (490 nucleotides) under uncultured bacterium. RNAcentral's name for it is "partial 16S ribosomal RNA". It matches the Rfam family "Bacterial small subunit ribosomal RNA", at positions 29 to 506 of the family's 1533-position model. The record is from RNAcentral.
GUGAACGCUGGCGGUAGGCCUAACACAUGCAAGUCGCACGGCAGCACAGUAAGAGCUUGCUCUUACGGGUGGCGAGUGGCGGACGGGUGAGGAAUACAUCGGAAUCUACUUUUUCGUGGGGGAUAACGUAGGGAAACUUACGCUAAUACCGCAUACGACCUACGGGUGAAAGCAGGGGAUCUUCGGACCUUGCGCGAUUGAAUGAGCCGAUGUCGGAUUAGCUGGUUGGCGGGGUAAAGGCCCACCAAGGCGACGAUCCGUAGCUGGUCUGAGAGGAUGAUCAGCCACACUGGAACUGAGACACGGUCCAGACUCCUACGGGAGGCAGCAGUGGGGAAUAUUGGACAAUGGGCGCAAGCCUGAUCCAGCCAUACCGCGUGGGUGAAGAAGGCCUUCGGGUUGUAAAGCCCUUUUGUUGGGAAAGAAAAGCAGCAGGUUAAUACCCCGCUGUUCUGACGGUACCCAAAGAAUAAGCACCGGCUAACUUCGU